CUUGUAUAAUACCUAGGAUCUCAAUAACAACCAACAGAUAAUAAAGCUUUGACAAUCAAUACCAUGGACACAGAAGACCCUCUAUCCUGACCUUCAAACAACCUUUAUACAAGUAACCAGUAUUUUGCUGUGUCAGUAAAUAACAAUUAUAUAGCUGGAUUAUUAUAUAUUUUAUUGAUAUUUGAGCAAUACUUCCAUAAUACAAUGAGCAUGCAUACACACAUGUUACAAUAAAAUUCUUAAGCUGAAAAUAAGGCAAGAAAAUAGAGGAAAACAAAAAAUUGAUAACAUUAUACUUGGCAAGAGAUUGUACCACAGCUAAAAUUAAAGGCUAUUCUAGGCAAAACAGUGCCUAGAACAAGCAAUUUCAACUGAUGCAAAUUUCCUCAUUACCUUGUUAUCCUUUUUAACACUUGUUAUCAUUUUUAAACAAAAUUUAUAAAAGUUUGUAAUUUGAAUUCACAUCUUAUAAAGAAAAUAUAAUGCUUUUAAAAUUUUGAAUUAAUUUCAAUAAGUUAUAAUUAGAACAAAUUUUGUGACCAACUUUGAUGUUAGGUAAACAAAUUUAGUCAACAGUUGAUUACUCUGCAAAUAUAUGAAUUUCAACACAUUUGAAAUCUCUAAAAGUUGCCAUACAUUCCUGGUUUGUUUUAUUCACUUUGUCUGUGAAAUAUAACUAGUGUUAUACUCCUAAUGGAUCACAUCUCGUCACAUUCUUAUCACAUUCUUAUCAACUGAAUGACUCUGAAGAUUUAGAUAUUAGAGGAAUAGAAUUAUUUAAUUCAUAUUAACAUGAUUUUAUUUUACAUUGAUUUAUAUACAUACGAAUUAUGACAUGAUGUUACAAUGAGUAAAAUGACAAUGAUCAUGUGUCCUAUAUCAUUUUGAUCCUGUCGAUUAAUUAAAUUGUUUAUGUUUGAUAUAACAAAUAAUACCAUGUUUCUUUGGCUUAAAAAUUCACACAUCAGUGGAAAUACAACGUUAAUGUACCCGCAUUUAAAGUCCUGCUUUACCCUUAUAGCUAUGAAUACCUGGCUAUAUAAUUAUGGUGCUUCUUUGAUUGCAGUACUAGGUCAAACAUCAUUUAAGGCUUCUUAAUGUUAAGAAUUGUUUUAUAUAUCCAUGGCAACCUUAAUUUCCCUGAGUUUUACGUCAUUGACAGAAGUACCUUAUGAUUGUCUGUAUGUAUCUAUUAACAAUUUUCCAUCUUAUAAAUAUUUGAAUUCCUAACACAAUUGUAAAACUUUAUGCAAAGGUUUCAAAAAGAAAAUCCAAAUUGGACAAAAAUUGAAUGAUCUAAAGUAAAACAUGACUUUUAAAAAUUUGGCAGUUUGGUGGAAGUUAAAAGGCAUUCAAAUAUUAGUUUGUUUUAAAAAUUUUGUGAUAAUGUAAAUGAAAAUUGAUUUUUAUUAAGACAUUCCUCCAUAUUAUAUACUUAUGAUAUAAUUUAAUCAAUAAGACAGAGUUAACACAUGGGCAUGUAUUGUUUGAUGCUAAUGAUUCUAUAUAAUUUACUUUUUGUGAUAUCAUAAUCAUGAUAAUGUGUAUGUUCUUAAAGCCUAAAGUCAAUCAUUAGACAAUAUCUUGUCAAUAUAUAUAUAUAGUUUUUUCAUGAAAGACAGUAAACUGUUUUCUAAUAAGAAAAAAAUAAUCAGAACUAAUUACCGUGAAUUUAAGCACAUCUAUCAAACUGAAAAUAAUAUAGAUGCAUAGAACUAUCUUUCAUCAAGUUACAUGAUUGUGGGCAACUUAAAAUUUAACUUAAAUGAAAGGUUAAUUGGAGUCCUUAAGGUCAAGGUCAUCUAUUAUAUGUGGUAGGCAGUUAUACAAUCUUUGGGUGAAGAUGCAAAGGAUAUGCUUGGGUACUCCCAGAGGGUAUUGCAAUAGACCCUCAACUUUGUUUAGGAUAACUUAUAAAUGACCUUUCCUUUCAAAUUAUCAAACAAUUGAAAACAAAAUUCUGUACUUAUAAAAAUUAACAAAUAUUUCAACAGACUUUUUUUUAUUUUUUAAUGCAACAUUAUUUAACUCAAAAUUAAGGAUUUACCUAUUUCGGAAUACUUAGUUUAUUUGCUCUUAAUUUGAUACCAAAAAAUAAAAUUGAAAACAUAAUUCUAUUUUUAUGACCUCUGGCAUAUAUGACUUAGUUUCUUCCUGGUAUUUCUUUAAAUACCACCUAAAAUACCUUACAUCAGACAGCUAGGAAAUAUGUAGGCAGGAUUUUAAAACUUUUCCACCACACUACCACAUGUCACAGAACAUGAUAAAUUAAUGUGUAAGUUAUUACAUGAAUAAAUUGACAGAAUUUUUUACAAACAAUAAAAUGGAGAAAUAAGAGGAAUGAAGUGAAUUGAAAGAAUAAUUGACAACAACACGAAUAUUAACAUCAAUGCCCUAUUUGAGAGUCUUGUUGCUUGGUAGUCACAAUUCUUACAUAUUUGCUUUGUCUAUAAUAAUUAUCAGUAUACAUCAAAUAUUCCAAGAUAAGCAUCAACAUACUUAUAAAUAAUGUAUCAAGAUUCUACCUGCCACAAAAUACUUUUAUACAACUAUUACAACUGACAGACGUGAGCCAGCUUAAACAUACUUUUCUACAACUACAUGUACUACAAUUGUCAGACAUGAGCCAGCUAAAAAUAAGACUUCAAUAAUCUCAAUUUACUACAAGCGUUCUAUUUCAUUUACAGAAUUACAGUUUGUCUUCAUGUGUCUAAAAUAUGACUUGACUUUUGGUCACUUCAAAAACACUACUUUUAAUGCCAAUACUGUUGCAUCAAUCUUUCUACUUUUGAUACCCGUCAAUUCUGAAAUUCUUAAUAUAAAUUGUUCAGUUAGGUGUCUAAAUAUCAAUAUAUCCUUACAGUUUACGUUCAAGGAUGGGUCUACAUGUAUGGAAGCUAAAUAUCAAUAUAUCCCUACUGUUUACGUUGAAGUAUGGGUCUAGAUGUAUGGAAGAGGGCAUAAUUGUUCACAAUGGUAUAAAUAUUUUGCCAGACCUAGCAAAGUGAAUUUUUGUUGGACAAUUUCAUGUCAACAACCAAUUGGUAAUGCCCCUCCUCCGUCUGAAGCUCCUACCGAUUUUACAAUUAUUAUAUAUUGAUUUACCCUACUUCUGUGUUCUAAUUAGCACUACCAUCUAAUAUCACUAACUUGGUACUUUGUUAUUGGCGUUCAAUCCACACUGAGACAAAGCAAAUAUGUAGUAACUGUCAACUUAUAACCAAAUUAAAUGUAAAUAUAUAUCUGUACAUAAAUGAUAUGGUGAGGUCAAUUUACAGUGUACACUCGAUCACAUGGUCAUACUGAAAUACCCGUAAAUUAUAAUACUGACCAUUCACAUGCUUCUUUCAUUCUAAAUAUAUGAGAAAUGCAAAAAGAUUUAAAAAUGCAGUCGAUAACAAAAAAGAUAAAUGAAAUGAUUAAAAUACAAUAUAUAACAUUAAAUGAUCAACAAUAAAUAGCAUAAAACAAAACAAAUAGCCAUUUUAUCGUUUACUAUUUACAAUUAUAUAAAUCUCGAGAAAAUAAAUUUAUACUAAUAUAUAUCUUUUAAUUUUUUGAGAACUUUUUGGAUAAAUGUUUGAAUAGAUAUUUAAAGCAUUUUUAAACGUUGAUACCAUAUGAUAAAGCCAGUGAAUUUAAUCCAACACAUUAUUUAAAAUUUGCAAAUUUUAUGAACUGUUUAAACAUGAAUGAAUUUUAAAUUGGAUAUAAAGAUAUAUGUGUAUAAAUUUAUAUUCCACAACACUUCUGUAUUUACGUAAUAUUUGAUGGUAACAUGCCUGAUGAAAACAAGAUUAUAUACAAAAUGUGAUGCAUGUUUAAGACUAGCACUAAUUUCUUAUAGGCUACACCACACUAUAUACUAUAUAACACAUAAAGCUGUAUAUCUUAUUUACAAACAAAACAAUGCCUCCAAACUAGAGGUUUAAUAAAAUGACACUCUUUAAAAUAAAAGUUUAAUUUGACCCGAUAAUGAUGUUUAAAACUUAAUCCUGCUUUUAUAACAUAUGCAGGUGUUUAAAAGCAAACAUGACAAAUGAAAUUCUGUUUAAUAAUAAUUUACAUUUUAUUUAGUGAUUAACUUUUUAAUUUUUAUUAUUGAACAUAAUAUGAAGAAGGCACCAACUUCCAAGUAGAGUUUAAAACUCAAUAUUUUUUUAUGUUAUAUAACUCAUGAAUUACACCUUUGUCUGACUCAGAUUUUGAACAUGAUUUAUAAGAUGAUGGGGACUAUAAUAUCAAGACUAAAUAAAUUGAUUUCCUUUUUUCUAAUGCCAAAUUGUAAAGAGUCAAUAUAGGAGUAAAGAGUAUUGGCCAUCAUGGUAUGUCAAAGUGUACAUGAUUGAUUGAUUGUUAGUUGUUUUGUGUCCAGUGGCAAAUAUUUCAUAUUCAUUUAGGACAAGAAGGAUACAAGAAACCCAAGUUACAUUGUAUAGAUCCAACUUUUGAAUGUCUGUACCGCCACAAACAUUUUCUUUAAAUUUAUGCCUUGACGACAAACAGUUUUUUUUUAGAUUCUGUUUUAACCUUGUAGAUGAUUGUUAUAAUAAUAAAUUUUGCAACAUCUGUCUGAUUAUUUACAUUAAAUCAUUGAGUGACAGUCAAAAUAACAUAAUGGACGUUACAAUGACACAAUAUAACAUGUAUUUAUCUGGAUCCAGAAGGUCUAGGCUGUAGUAGGUUGGGAAUAUUUCUAAUUCUGAUUAAUUUAAUAAUACAUGUUUCUGAUGCAACAGCUGCCACUACGUGUACAUUUUUUAAUUUUAUUUAUAGUAUUCAAUAGUCCUCAGAAAUACUCUUAUUCAUCCAACGACUGAAAAUUAGAAAAACUAAUUCUACUACCGAUUGCCUACUAAAAGACAGACUUUCUCGUAUCUUUCGCAUUUUUUUUUCAAUUCGUCUACAAUUACCUUAUAUAGUUUUAGUAACAUUUAACUAAAUCUGAUAGACUUAUUUGGUAAACAUAUUUCAAGACAUUAUAGAAUAGAUUUAAAAUACUUUCUCAUAUUUUAUAUUCAAGGGCAAAAAGGAGACUUAAUUCACAGUAUCAAAAAUCAUUUCAUAGAAAAUUUUGAAUUAGCCAAACAUAAUAGAUUUUUACCAAAACAGUCAACUAAUAUGAUAGAAAUAUUGUAAAAAUCUCACUAGAGGCAUUUUCACAAUAAAUUCUGAAAACAAUAUAAUAUUACGGACUUGAGGAUAAAAGAGACUAAUAGAUGGGACAUUUAGAGAGAUGAUAUAAUGUGUUAUUUACAAUGGAGAAAAUAGUGAUUAUUUACAUCUGAGUCAUAUAACAAAUAAAAGUGAGCCAAUAACAAAACAAAAACUCAACAUUCCUUUCUAAGUAAGUGUAAAGCACAUGUUAACAAGUAUUCAAGAAAAAAGCUAAAUUUGUUUGGGAGAAUUUUUUAUACAAUUUUAAAUUUUUGAUUCGUAAUUACAAUAUUUUAUAAAGGAGUGAUAACAGGUUCCAUUUGAGAUUUUUUUUUUUUUACUUUUUUAAAUCAUUAACUCCUCUUAAUGCUGAACUUGGAACCCCUAGACAUUCUACUAAGAUCAAUCUUCUUAAAGCAAGAAAAACAUAAAAUUUUAGCUUUAACACAAAUAUCAUAUUAAUGUCAUACAAAAAUUCGGUCAGGUAUCAACAACAUUUUUGUACUUUUUAUAUCAAUAAAGGAUUACAUAAUGUGCAGCUCAUUGCUACAAGUUUAAUGCAAAAUGCCAAAUCAAUUUCACUCCAUAUGUUGCAUGCAUUUUUGCGUAGGAUAAUUAAAAACUUUUAAAAAAAUUGUUGGGGGAAAAAAAUCAGUCAAAAAACAUUAUUAUGAAGUGUCAAACAUGUGCUGAAAAGUUAAAAAUGGAUUUUUCAUUACUGAAGCUUUUCUUAACAAUAAUGAAUGUAGCCAAUAUAUACAUAUGUUACUUUCCAGAGGUGUGCCUGAGACAAAGGUUUUAUAUAUAUACUAAUAUGUGAUAACUGCUGUUUCUUAUUUGUGUUUGUAACUAUGUGUUGUUUAUUAUAUUUGUAAAAGAAUAUCAUAUUACAAUGAUAUUAUAUUAUGCUCCUUGUGAGCCCAUUCUAUGGAAAUAAAGCAUCUCUUCUUCUUCUUCUAUACAAUAAUUGAAAUCAUAAACAAGCUUUAAAAUUUUGCCCUAUAUAAUAUUUUCAUACAGAAUUAACACAACAAGCAACAUUUUCAUAUAGAAAUAACAAGCAAAGAAUAUCAUUAAAAAAAUCACAAAAUUUGAGCAUAAUUUAUAACAUUUCUUAAGAAUAAAAGCUGCAGUUUACGAGAGGUAUCUUUCACAAUCCUGAAGUAUAGAGGUGUUUGUUUCUAAUCAAACAAUGUUAACUACAAUGCAUGUAUUUGUUUGUUAUGUUUUUGUUGUCGGGUUGUCAUCAAAGGAUGUAUAUGCAGUAUAAUGGGUUAUUAAUUGAAUGUUUCCUUUUCAUGCUAGAUCAGUAGCAUGCUUAGUUGAACUUCAGCAACAUUAAUACAUCAUAUUCCCGAACAAAUUAUACAGUUAUAUGUAACUUAUGUUCAUGUAAUAAAGUUUCAAAUGGGAACAUAUAUCAUUUUCAUUGCAAAAGUAUUAUGAGGCAUGCAUGUAAAUUUAUCGAGAAAUGAUCUAUUGACCAAUAUUUACAUUUCAUUUGUUUCAAAAUCUAUGUUUCAUGUCUUGUACUGAAUGAAAAUUAAUUGAGGACAUAAAAAAAGUGAAUACUGACAACAGUCAUAGCUAACAAAAUUAAUGUUAGAAACAAACCACUCAUAUUAUUAUUAACUUUGGUUUAAACAGGUUUUCCCUGAUUCAUUUAAAAAUCUCAUUAAUUAACUUAUUUACAUACAAGUUUUUUUCUAAGGCUAAUUUUACCAUAUUACAUUAAUUUAUAAGGCACUUUGGUAUUAAAGUUGGAAAAUUUAGUCAUUAUUUAUCAUUAAAUUGAACAUUAAAAUAAUAGCCGCUAUAUUUGACAAUCAAUAAUUCAAUUUUCCAGUUAAUAAACAACAAUUACAUGUAGGUUUCUAUAUUAAAAUUAAUUAAUUUGUUAUAAUGAGAAACCUUACUUUUACCACUAUUUGUGUGUAUAUAUUUGUAUAAAAAAAUGUAUACAUUGUAUUUGUAAAUGCACAACAGAAUUUAGAAACUUUUCCAGAGACAACAUGGAACAUACAAUUUUUUUUGGCAAAAGAAGAAUGUUAAACAAAAAUAUUUGAAACAAGAAUCAAUAGAUGUUGACAUUUAAAAUUUAAAAAAAUCUUAUCCAAUUGAAAUGCUUAAAAAAACCUAUAUUGAAGAGAAUUUAGAAAUGUCAUAAAAGCAUCAAACCUGUCUAGGAUUGCCCAUAUUUUGUGUGAAUUAAAAAAUAGGUUUUUAUAAAGCAGUAUAUGGAGCAUUUCUGAGUUAUUUAAAAGUUUAAUAUUCAAUCUUAAUUUAUAAUCUUAUAUUCCAUAACUGUCAUAAAUUGUUUAAGAAAUGACUGUAAUAUUUUUUCUGUCUAUGAAGAAAUAACAUAAAAAAUUUGGUGCACACAUAAUAACGCGCUUAGCGGGUUAUUUAAAG
This 7569-nucleotide long non-coding RNA is filed under the name Mytilus galloprovincialis (Mediterranean mussel). The record is from RNAcentral. Lineage: Eukaryota; Metazoa; Mollusca; Bivalvia; Mytilida; Mytilidae.